ACCGACUCUCUUUUCGGACUCAGUCCGCCUGCACCCGGGUGAAAUAAACAGCCAUGUUGCUCACACAAAGCCUGUUUGGUGGUCUCUUCACACGGACGUGCAUGAAAUUUGGUGCCGUGACUCGGAUCGGGGGACCUCCCUUGGGAGAUCAAUCCCCUGUCCUCCUGUUCUUUGCUCCACGAGAAAGAUCCACCUACGACCUCAGGUCCUCAGACUGACCAGCCCAAGGAACAUCUCACCAAUUUUAAAUCAGGAGCUUGCUACAUGUGCCAGAAAUCUGGCCACUGGGCCAAGGAAUGCCUGCAGCCCGGGAUUCCUCCUAAGCCGUGUCCCAUCUGUGUGGGACCCCACUGAAAAUCGGACUGUUCAACUCACCUGGCAGCCACUCCCAGAGCCCCUGGAACUCUGGCCCAAGGCUGACUGACUCCUUCCCAGAUCUUCUCGGCUUAGCGGCUGAAGACUGACACUGCUUGAUCGCCUCGGAAGCCCCCUAGACCAUCACAGACGCCGAGCUUCCGGUAACUCUCACAGUGGAAGAAGGCAGGAAUGUCAGGCCUCUGAGCCCAAGCCAAGCCAUGGCAUCCCCUGUGAUUUGCACAUGUACGCCCAGAUGGCCUGAAGUAACUGAAGAAUCACAAAAGAAGUGAAUAUGCCCUGCCCCACCUUAACUGAUGACAUUCCACCACAAAAGAAGUGUAAAUGGCCAGUCCUUGCCUUAAGUGAUGACAUUACCUUGUGAAAGUCCUUUUCCUGGCUCAUCCUGGCUCAAAAAGCACCCCCACUGAGCACCUUGCGACCCCCACUGCUGCCUGCCAGAGAACAACCCCCCUUUGACUGUAAUUUUCCUUUACCUACCCAAAUCCUAUAAAACGGCCCCACCCCUAUCUCCCUUCACUGACUCUCUUUUCGGACUCAGUCCGCCUGCACCCGGGUGAAAUAAACAGCCAUGUUGCUCACACAAA
RNAcentral lists this long non-coding RNA (962 nucleotides) under Homo sapiens (human). RNAcentral's name for it is "novel transcript, antisense to PRKG1". The record is from RNAcentral. Lineage: Eukaryota; Metazoa; Chordata; Mammalia; Primates; Hominidae.